UAUCUAUCAAUCAUUUCUCUUUUUCUUAAUUUCAAGGAACAAAUAAUUUACACUUCCUGAGCACUAACAGUGUCCCCAGCACUGAACUUGAAUUAUUGCACUGAAUCCUCCUGACAGCCCUAUGAGGAAAUUAUUAUAGACGCCCCCAUCUAAUGUGACAUAUGCAAGCCCACAUUGUCAGCAAGGGGCAGAGCCAGGAUGUGCAUCCGGGCAGCCUCUGUCCACCCCUCCCCUCGCAGUCCCCAUCAGUUGGUUUUGUUACUGUGCCUUUCUCUUGAACGCAGCCCUUGGCGCUGUCCCUGGCUCGUGGCAGACACUCAACACUCAGCCAUGGUUGUUGCUGCUACUAUUACUAUUCACUUCUUAUUUAUUCUUACAUCACCUUUUGCGGGUUGUUAUACCCAGUGCUUUUUCUCCUGUUUAUACCUGUUUGAAAAAAUAUAAAGAAUCAUUCAAUUUGAAGAUUUUUGGUUUAUCAAAUGCAGAAGAAGGAAGAGGAUAUUUAUAUAAGUUUUUCAAGAGGAAUCUUUUAGAAAACCUACAAAUCAAAUAAUCAUUCCAGCUAGGGCAAUAGAAAAUAUCUAUACUGUUCUACAGUGAACUUCCCUUUUCUCCAGGAAUGUCUGCUAUGGAAUGGGACCAUCACUGGCAACUUCUACAGGAGGGCCUGCUUAACAACCUUUACCAAGGUCCAGCCCACACUCUUUAAACUGGCCUAGAAGGUCCUUCCUACUCUGCCCCUAACUUCCCUUCCAGCCUCUCUUCCUGCCCUAACCCGUUCUUAAUCCAUCAUUUCCCCCAUACAGCCAAACCAAGCCAUGCUCACUGACUCGUGCCUUCCUAUUUCGCACCUCUGGGUCUGCACAGAUUCUUUGAGCUGACAGUGGACACAUCCUCUAAGACGCAGUGGAAGCAUGACGUCUGGGAGGGGCCUCCAGACUCUGGCCCAGCUCAAGAUUCACUCUUCUCUUCCUAGAGGUCUUCCAGGAGAGUAUCCUUUCCCCAUAUGCUAACUAAUGUCCCUGAACAGCAUCACCUUCUCUAGACUAGGAAGCUUUGGGAGAAAGAUCUGAGUUCUGGGCAUUCUCAGUGCCCAGCAUGCCAGUGGCAUAUGGGUGGGGAUUAAUGAGGACUUGUUAGGGUAGAACUUUGGUGGUCAGGUCAAUGAAGCAGCAUUGAUAACUCCACUUAGAUAAAUGAAGCAAAAAGGGACGUUUAUCCUGAAGAAAAUGAGACGUCACAGGGAGCUUAAGAAAGGAACACUGGUAGUCUUCACGAAUGGAUAGAAAAAAAGAUCCUCAUGUCAGGCGCUUUCAGGCCCUCUCAGCUUUUGUCCAUGUCCCUUAUUUCCUCUCCCUCUCUCUCUCUCUCCUUCCCUCCCACCAUCCUUUCAUGCGCCCUUCCCUCUCUCCUUUUGUUUUUCAUGUCUACUUGAUAAGAAAUGUGGUAGCCAACACUUCAGCCAAAGUCUUCAAAUAUCCCUUCUCUCUUCCAGACUUCCUCAACAAAACUGUACCCCAUUUCCCAGUUUCUGUCUCAAAAUUUCCUAGAUAAGCCUUAGAUUGGCUUAUUUGGGGUUGGAUGACCAACACGAGACCAAUAAAACAGCCAGGGGACAGAGUAACAUUCUACCACUAAAGUGGAUUUUAAAAUAACAGUAAAGAUAUGGACAGUCAAGAUGGGCAGUUACUAGAAAAAACAUGAUGACAAGCAAAUUAUAAAGAUGUCCUGUGCAGGUGUGCAUGCACACACACACACACACACACACACACUACCCAAAACAUAGUAGGCCUGCCAAAAUAUUUGUUGAAUUACUAAUUGUAUAUGUACAUACACCUAUUUAUUAAUACAGAUUUCAUUAUUGAGGAAUACAUAUUCAUAAUGGUGGCUUUAGUCCUGGAAAAAUUCUCUGCUUCCUGUACCCUCAGAGAAGGAAAAUGAAUUUUCACUGCAGUUCAAAUGCUUGCUGGGGUCAAAACACUCUGUUAUCUUGAACAUAUGUCUAAUGAUAUUUGCUUUAAUGAAGAGCCACGGCUUACCUCCUUCUCCACAGCACUUGAUCUUGCAUUUGGGGUGUGGAAGGUCACCCAGCGUGUUCUUGCCCUCGGCUUUGGCUCACCCUGCUGGUGACGAGACCGCAGAAGGAUAAUAAAGAAUGGGACCCAGCCUUCCAUUAAUAGUUUGGCUGGGUUUCCAUUGCUGCCCUCUCUCGGCUUGUGGUCCUGCAAUGAGUUUCAGUCAAAAGCAAAAGGGAAGUGGUUAGUUUUAAAAGGAGUAUCUGCACUUUAACAGCCACUGGAGUCUCUGCAGUUUGCCCAUUGAGUUGCAGUGGGGUAGAAACAAAGAGCACAGACAGGCACCAGGGCAUCGCAGUUACAACGACAAGCUGCAGAGCCAACCCGGCUGGGUUCAUUUCUGCCUUUUUUCACUUAUUAACUUGGUCCAUUUUCUUCAUCUCUCUGUGUCUCUGUUUACUGUAAAAUAGGCAUAACAACAGUACCAUGCCUACAGGUUCAUUCUAGGGCAUAAAUGAAUGACUGAGAGGGUUGACAUUGUGCCUGGAACAUAGCAGCAUGCUCAGGUCUCAUAAGCAUGGAGUCAUAAACUCACUCCCGAGCUGUCCUUGUGCCAUCUUCCGUCAUAUCCCCAUGUUAAUAACCUAAAUCUUCAUGCCACAGGAUUCACUGAAACCCAUCCUUCUGCCUUCUCAGACACUCUGGUUGUUUGCCUCUCUCAUACCUUGACCUCGAGGUUGGAGAGGCUUGACCUUCUCCAUCCUUCUUCCCUGGUUCUCUUGUGACUUCUCUGUACUACCAUGGCCAUCUCCCACUCACUUCAAUGUUCACACACAUGUACACAUUCACAGACUGGGCUCUGCUCCUUCCCUCAUGGGUCUGCUGUGGUUGCAGAUCCCACUGAGGGAGUGGGAAGGGUAGAAUGAAUUUACAACCCAAAGAGGAAGCACCUCAACCUCAAUAGUGACUUAGCACUGUUCUUUCUACCCAGAAACCUCCUGCCCUCACAAAGGUCCCUAUGCUCCUCCUCCUUCAUUCUCAGCCUACCAUGGCCUGGGGAGCUGUGGUCAUCUCCCUGUGAAGAGCCAGCUAUGCCCUGAUGCCAAGCCUCAGCCAGACCCCACGUGGUCCUUAGAGACCUAGGAAGGCAGACUUUCACUUCACUCAGUAGAUGUUAAACAUCCUAGUGGGAACAUUAAGCACUCGAAUAAUUUCAUAGAUUCUGGAUUUUUCCCAAGGUUACAUGUCUUCCCCCAUACACAACUUUGGUAGAUAUUCACCUUAUGCAAUGCAUGUUUAACUGGAUCUCCAGUGUGACUUCACCUGGAACAAACACUCUCCACCCAAAAGAAAUAUAUGCUUCCAUGUUUCAGAUCCCCGAAAUUCAGAAAUAUUGGGGCCCUGCCUCAGAGCACCCCACUACAGCAAUAUGCUAUAUAUGGAAUGUCCUUAGAAAAAGGAGGCUAGGAUCAGUUGAGCUCACAGCACUGGUCAUAAGCUUCAUAUAAGCCACUCCAUUUAUUUAAGUCUUCCAACAAUGCUGCUGAGCAGACAUUUCAUUUAUUAGGGACUGAGACUGAGCAGGAAGUGAUGACCUGAACAGUGAAGCCAGCCUCUGAGGGUUAGAAUCCACUUCUGUGGCAUUCCAGCCUCCCUGCUUUUUCCCAGACACCUCCCUGCUUUUUCCCAGACACCUCACCUGCCUUCACAACUCCAGGGUUAAUGGUUGCUCCAUCGUGCCUGGUGUUUGCCCAACCCAAUCUCCUCCUAGACCACAGACAUGAGUGGAAAGUCCUACUGUACAGGAACUCAAUUCUGUCUGAGAGCUCUGGGCUGGUGACAGGAGGCUCAUUCUGCUGUACACUGGCUGUGCACUCUUGGUUAGGGUUUCAACACCAGUGUUUUCACACUAUGGUCAUGACCUGCUGGAGUUUCAUGAAAUCAGCUGAGUACAACUGGCAUUUUAAAACAACAAAACAGAAUAUUAUAAAAUAGAAAAUAUCAGAUUUAAACACCCACAUUUGGAAGGAAUGUUGUUUUGGGCAACUUUUGUUUAGUUUAUCUGUCACAUAGCUAGCUAGCUGUAAAUAUGUUUUGUAAAACUUCUGUUUCUCACUUUGCCUAUAUAUGUAUCUGGCUAUUUCUCUAUCUGUUUAUGCGUCUGUAUCUAGUUUGUCUGUCUGUCUAUCAUUCCAUGCAUAUAUUUGGACUGGAUUGUAGUUAAAUGCAUAUCUUACUAUGCAUUGAGGUUGAAAAAGUUUAAAUUCACUUCUCUGAAUCUCUCUGAAAGUUUAGGUUUCUUUCUAUCUUUUCUUUCUAUAAAAAAGGUUAUAUAAAGAUAUAACCUAAUGGGUUGUUGUGAGGUUCAAGUGAGAUGUAUAUUAAAGGACUUUGUAAAGUCUGAUUUCUCACAAACAGGCUGUUUACUACCAAGAAAAGAUUGGCAUCGCAUGCCACUCAGAGUUCCAGAUUUGAACCCCUACUUCUCUGUUCCUCAGAGAAGGCCUCCAUUUCCUCAUGACUGUCUGAUAAACAUGGAGCUGCUCUGGGGAGAUGCAAUUGUGAGGAAAUGGAUACAAGGCAGAAAACAAAUUCCAAGGCUGUUGGAGACCCCAGUGCUAAGGACUGGAGUGAGAUCCACUCAAUGGGGUAACACUGAGACCCACGACUGUGGAAAUGUAAUAAGAUGACUCAGCAGAAUGCAGGCUGACAUCUCCAUGGACAAAUCAUACAUUUUCUUAUAAGUUGGGCCUUCAGAAGUAAUAUUCUUUUCAAAAAGUUAAUAAUAAGCGAGGCUCUUCUAUUCUAGCCAGAAUCCAGUGUGAAUAUUUGAAACAAAUGACUUUCACAGAUAUAUAGAGGGAAGAAAGAAUUCAAAGCUAGCAUCUUAUCUUGGAGAUGAAAAAAGUGGGGGUGGGAGGAGAGAGCCACUGUCACACAAUGGCUCUGUGAGAGCAGUUAGAUUAGAAUCCAGGUCUAUCCCAGGACUGGAAAAAAUACACACUCAGUGGUUCUCACUGGUGAUGGAUUUAUGGGUAACUGAUUUUCUUCUUUGUUUUUUCAAAUUUCAAAAGGGAAUGUAAAUUAUUUUUACAGUCUGAUUUUUUUUAAAUUUUCAAGUCAUUAAAAAAUAGAAUGCAUCAGAGGAGAGUAACCAGGAUGAAAGGGGAAUUCCAAACUGUUUUACACAAGAAAUAGUUAAGAAAAUUGGAAUAUUUAUUAUGGAGAUGUAAACUCUUACCAGAGUGUAAACAGGAAGAGGCAUUCACAAUCACUCACUGUCUGCAAAAGCAAAAGAUCUCUGAAAGCAAAGGGGCUGGGUUUUUCUUCUUUGUGGCUCCAGGGACAGAAUCAAAGAGCCUAAGCCGGUUUCAGAGAGAUCUUUUCCAUAUCUAGAAAGAAUUUCUUACAGGUAAAGCUGAACUUAGGAAACCUGGGGAUUGUCAUCACUGGAGGAGCUUGGCAGAGACUGAAGAACAAAUGGCGGUGGAGUUUUCAGAGGGAUUUUCAUGGGUUGGUGCUUGAAGGAAAAGAUCUGAGUGUAUUCUAAUUUAGGACACCCUAUGAGGAUGCAGGAAGCUCUUACAGUGCCCUGUGGCUCCACAUCUCUCUUAGAUGUGGCUUAAAUUAUUGUAGCGAACAUGUUUCAUGUUCCACCAUCAUCUUCUUAGCCAUGGCUUUAGGACAUGCUUUUAUGGCGGCAUCUUCUGGACCUUCCUUCGUAAUAGACUCAGUAAUGACCCCCAAAGAUGCUCACAUUCUAAUGACUGGAACCUGUGAAUACGUCACCUUACCUGGCAAAAGAUAAUUUUGCAUAUGUUAUUAGAUUAAGGGUCUUGGGAUGGGAGAUUAUCCUGGAUUAUCUGAAUGAGCCCAGUGUAAUCACAAGGGUCCUUAUAAGAGGAAAGCAGGAGGGUCAGAGUCAGAGAAGAAGACGUGACCACAGAAGCAGAGGAUGAAGUGAUGUACUUUGAAGAUAAAGGAAGUGGCCAUGAGCCAAGGAAUGCAAGCAGCCUCUAGAAGGUAGAAAAGAGAAGGAAACAAUCUCUCCUCUAGAGCUUCCAGAAGGAACGCCAGCCUGUUGGCAUCCUGAUUUGGGGCUUCUAACUUCCAGACUGCAAGAUCAUAAAUUUGUGUUAUUUUAAGCUUCUAAGUUCGUGCUAACUUGUUACAGCAGCAAUGGGAAACAAAUCAUGGAGCCAAUUAAAUAAACACAGGGAGGGAAAGAAAGAUGAUCUAACUUAUUGUGAGGCCUGAUACACCUGGGGCAGACUACACACUUUGCUUUAUGUGCUUAUCACUUGAACCUUAGAUGUGGGUAUCAGAAACCCUAUUUUAUAGGUGAGGAAUCUAAAGCUUUAUAGACAUUAAGUCAGUUGCAUAAGAGAAUUUUUACAGUCUGAGAAAUCAAGCUGGAAUCUAGACCAAGAGCUGCCUAGCUUUUCCCACUGAACUUUGCUGCUUCCUAGCAGGUCUCCCAGGAACCAGAUCUAAUCACUGCUGCCCUGUGCCUUCCCUUUCUAUCCACCGUCUGAACUCUAAGCCCUGCAGUUCCAGGAGGCCUGGGCAUGGGGAGGCCCUCUCCCCACAGGAGCAUGCGCAUGGUUGGCUGUGAAUAUUCAACACCCUGAUAUUCGGCUUACUCCCCAAAGAAGAUUGCAUAAAGAUGGCCGUUCUGCAUGGAAUGGAAUUCUCUGCAGAAGACACACAGAAAAUAUGGGCACACAGCCAAUAUUUUCUACUUGGAACCUGGGAUACUUGCUUUGCCCAGUACAAUGUAGCAAAACUUGGUGCUGGACAGAUUCUGAGUUCUGACCUCAAAAAAAAACAUAUAGGCUCUGAUUUCUCUUUUACAACCCUGAUAAGUCAGAAAAUAAAAAAGCCUGAGAUAAACUGCUGGAUGAUUGGUUGCCAUGUUGAGAAGAUAAGAGGCACUGCAUCUGACAGCAGCCAGUUUCCAGAAAACCUAGCACCUGUCUUCAGAUGCAUGAGUGAGGCCCAGCCAAGAUCAGCUAAGUCUGGCUUAAAUUAGCAGAACUACCCAUUCCAAAUCUGAGCUCAUCUCAGGUUGCUGACCUGCAAAACUGUGAUCCAAGUAAGUGGUUUUUGUUUUUUACAUCAUAAGUGUCGGGUGACUUGUUACUCAGCAAAAGCUAACUGAUAUAUCCUCUUAACCUCACACCAUUUUUUUUCUCACUGUUAAACUUUUGCACAUAGUGUCUUCUUUUCUUAGAAGACCUUUUCCAAUCUCCUUAUCUUUCUACUCAUCCUUUAAGCCUCUUCUCUGAGGAGUCUUUCGUGGUGCCCAUACCUGGGUAAAUCACCCUUUCCCUGAGCUCCCAAAGCUCCCUAGGAUCCUUCUAGCACUGCCUUGUUACCCUGUGUUUGACCUUCUCAUUUACUGGUCAUAACUCCUCCCCUGCAGACAGUAGAAUGUACCAGCAUGCAUAGCUGAACUUCAUUACUGCAGGCCAAGUGUCGAGAUUCAUACUUGAAUAUCAUAGGAAGGUAGAUGUAGACAUAUCACUGAAGCUUGAGAGGUCAGGGUAAACAGCCUGGAGGAUAUUACCUCUGGAGAAAUGUUGAAGUUGGUACAACCAAGUGUUUUCCAGGUAAAAAGGCCCAUGUGAAGAGCUUCAGGAAGGAGAGAGAGAAUGCCAUAUUUGAGGACUGGAAUGCAUUCAGGUUUUUGUCUGAUGGGGUAGAGCACAGGUAAAGGCCAGGAAUCGUCAGGAGUCACCGGCAGACUAGGAUCAGCCACCUGGAUCAAGUCAGCCAAACCUCUCCUUCCUUUCAGUUCUGUCUAUUUUCUUUAUGCUCGUUCUUUGGACAGAAUACAGUUGUUUUGAAAACCUCAGUCUGAUUCCACUAGGCUAGGAAGAACUAAAAAGUGGAUUCAGUUUUCAAGUGGCUUCAGCAAGUUCUUCCUUUCCUGGUAUCCAGGCCAGUGGCAAAGAUUUUCUUCCCAGAUUAACAGCAGGGAGAGGAGAGGUGUGGCCCAGAAGUGUGUAAAUAGAGCACUAAGGCUAACAAAACCUGGGGAGCUGACUCUCUGCAUUUGCUCCGGUGUCUGGUGGGGCGCAGGCUCCUCUCCAGGUGGUACUAAUAAAAUGAGGCUGGGAUAAUGGGAUAAAAGCCCAGAAACAUAAAAGCUGCCUGGAGGGGAAAGGGAAGAAGCAGUGGGGGGAUACUUUCCUCCCAAUGUUAACUGUUCCCGCAUUAAUCAGAUUCAGGUAUCACAAAUUGGUCUUGUCUGCUCUUCCAGGAACAUUAAGGGAAGCUGCAACUCCAGAGUUAUGGGUCUUUAAAGCAGGAACAACCCCUUUAAUCAAGUGGCCUAGCCUCUCCUGAGAGAGGCAGAAAAUGUAAGGCUCAGAGAGGGGCAGUGCCUUGGGACAGUUUGCACAGUGAACAGAUGCCCUUUGCUUUCCUUAACUAGACUAUAAGACGGCUGAGGGCAGGGACCUGAUUUCUGGACUAACUUCAUAUCACCAUGCCUCACACACUAGUGGUGUAGAUGGAAAUACAAUCCAACAAAAUGGCAAAUGACAAGGUCAUCUCAUGGGAAGGUAAGGGUUGUAAAUGAAAAGAGUGAGAGCACUGUGAAGGUGACUGGACAGGGAAGCACAUUGUGUGGUGUUUAGAAUGGGAAGGACAGGGUAGGGUCAAGCUUAAAGGAUGAAUGGGAGCUCAGGGAAUUCUUAGGUCUUACCAGCAGGAAAGGAGAACCCUAAUACCACAUCAGAGGAGCCAGUGUUAAGCUCUGGGGAGUGGGGGUUGGAGCCAAAACAAGAAGAGAAACCAGGAGGAAAUGGCUGCUCAGAAGUGUGACGAGCUAGUAGACCAGAUGGACCAGACAUCUCAGCUGGGAAAGCCCCAAAGAUGAGUUCAGCAUCAAUACUAGGAUGGUGUGAGUUUAAGAUUAGGAAAGGUUUUGGACUGAGGGGACUCAGCCCUCACACCACUUUUACAAGAGCCAAGGUCCAACAGCACCAGGACAAUUAGUUAAGACUGAAGAGGACCUUUGGGGGACAGAAGCCACCACCAGCACAAACAAGGAGCAAGCAAGGAAGAGAGGAGUGGAUGCAGAUGGAGCCCUGAUGGAUUCCCAGGAAUGACUUUUGUUUGCAUGGAUGCCUCUUUGGAAGAGGAGAGCUCCACGUGCCCGCGCCUCUUGAGGCCUAUAAGAAGGUGAGUAGGAGCCCAUCUGGACCUACUCCUGGGCGCACUUCCCAGGUCAUGGAGCCUCUCCAUACCUUAGAGUCCUAAUUCACAUCAGGUAGAUGAUGGCAGGACCUUUCUCAUAAGGCCAUUGUUGUAGCUAAAGCAGGUAGAAUAGGACCCAGCCCAAGCAUGGGUGAUGUGUGUGCUGAUCAUCUGACACUCAACAGUGUAUAAUUCUGAGAACUAAACUUCACUCACAUCUUACUUUGCAUUAUUGCCAAGCACUUAAAACAUAUUCUCAUUCAAUCUCUAUUACAGCCAAUGAAAUUUGAGACAUUUCCCUUUGUCUAUUUGUCAGCUGAGUGCCAAGGUCAAGAAAAACAGUGAACUGUGCCCUCAUAUUCUAAAGUAGCCAUACCUGGUUCUGCCCUCAUCAGCCCAUCAAAUACUCUUGGCAGCCUAGGAAUUUUUUGGAAAGAAGGCUGAAGAAUGAAAGCCUCUUUGGAAACAGUCACUGGCAUGCAGCUCUCUGGUAACCCUUAGCAACUGAAGAAGCCUCAAGAGAAUAAUUAGGGGGAGUUGACGUGUGUUCCCCACCUUUGGGGGUGAUAGGGACCAUCAUAUGACUUUUACCUGUAGGAGUCUAAAGGUGGUAGACUGGCUGAAAUAGUGUAGUGUGGCACAGCAAAUCCUGGUAGCAGCCAUCAGAGCCACCUCUUCUUCUAGAAACUCUUGGUAUCAGCCAGAAUAGCCAAUAUGAAGAUUCUGGCUUUGGGAUGCUCAAGGGAAUGUCCUACAAGGGUGAGAGGAUUUCAGCAUGGUGAGUAUGGAGAGACCUCUUAGAAAUUAAGGGCUGACUAGACUCAUAUAAGGCCCAUUAGAGAGGCCAUCAUCCUACCAUGGGACUACCAAGGGGGUCCCCAGUAAGAUCUCUGAGGAACCCACAAAAGCAUCUCAAGAAGAAAGAAUUACUUUUGAAUACAAAUACCAAUGUUUGGCUGCAACUGUACCAGAUAUACCAGGCUCUAUGGGUACUACCAUCUCUUCUGUACCCACCCUUCAAUGUGGCCCCUUUCUUAAAGGACCACACAUCCCAGGGAGAGGGAGGAAGACAUGGAGCAGAAGGGGUUAGAGACAGGAGAACUCAUGCCUUCUCCACUGCUGGCAUUUCCGUUCAUCCAACCCAAAUUUUAAACAGGAUAAGGAUUUUAUUCAACUGGACUACACAUCUUAACAAUUCCAAGACAGGAAUAGAGAAGAGGGACCUGGCAUAACACAGAGGCAAGAAAAUUACAUGAAAGAAUAAAGUUGCUUCCUGCCUGCUCCCAACCUAAUAGAACCCAUUCAUGAAUUUUGGUAUACAAAUCAAGUAGGCUGUGCUAGCGCCACGGUCCAGAGAAGAAGGCCAAGGCUUGGACAGGUCAGGUGAUUUCCCCAAGAUUGCACAGCUCAGAGUUGCAGCUCCGUAUGCAGAUCUAUCUGCCUCCAGGGACUGUGCUGGUAAUGCCCAGAUGUAUACCUACAGCAGUUAAUGUGGAGUUAGCAAGAAUGGAAGGGUUGAAGCUACAAAAGGCAGUGUGUACACAGCAGAGCAGCUUCAGUUUUGUAACGCAGAGCACAGCCUGUUUAUUGAUGAUCCUCUUCCUAAGUACUUCCCUCAUGUUUAUGAAAUGAUGUGUGGGUCCUGCCCCAUUUUUAAUGACUCCUUAUUUACAUGGAGCACAUUAUUUAUGGAAGCAGAGAUAGCGCCAUUGCAAACCCAUUAGAAAGCAGAGAUAGGAGGAAGGCAUUGUUCACUCCCCAGCUAGGACAGGAUUCUAAUUACUCAAGAGCUCACCCUCCUCACUGUGGUACCAGGCUCAAUAAAUAACACCCCGUAUGGAAAUGGUGCUUGAUGUAAAUUGUGACUCAGUCCACAUAAAUUGAUAUUUGGCUGGUGGAGAGCUUCCAGCAUUUGGCAAGAAAGUGAGUAGCAGCCUGGGAAUUUGAAGACCCGGUUCCUCAGAGAUGGCAGCCCCCAUUCCUCACUGCACACUUCUCAGAAACAAUUAACAUUUUUUAUUUAAGUAAUAAGCUCCAAAGAAGAGAUGUAGCUGGAAGAUAAUAGCCCUUGUGAAAUCACAAGGUGUUUGGAGGUGAAUCUAUGGGCACUUCGCAUAAUGAGACGACCAUCCAUGGAUGCCAAUUUUCAUAGAGCUUUUCAGUGCUAAUCGUUUUUCCAAGAAAUAAUUCUGAGAGUCCAAGGUGGAAGCUGAGCUUCAAAGGCUAAAUUGCUCAAAUAACUUUGGAAUUCAUGAACUCUCAGGAAAUGCUAGCUGUGGGACCAAAGAGGCUGUCAUUUGGGUUUGUUAAGAAAAUACGAUUUGCUUUCUUCAAGGAGAGAUGGGUGGUCCUUCUGAUGUGGGACUCAGGGCUACAGGACCAUUCUGUGCUUCUGGGAAAAUCAGCAGCAAAGGUGAUGAUUCAACAGCCCAUUCCCCUUGCUCAGAAGGCAGCAACUGGUCCUGUCCAAACCAGUAGCAGAAUAAUUUCGGGAAGAGGUGAAAAUUUGUAAGACUCGGUAUUAUGAGGAAAAGGGAAGUCCUCUAAAAAAACAACAACAUGUAAGUGAAAACCCAGAAAUGGACCCCACACACCCCGAGUACAGGCUAUGGGGACUGCCCCAAGUGUUGCUGUCUGCUGCUCUUCCCAGAGGAGGCAAGGGAAGCAGAAGAAAAACUUCAAGUUUUGCAGUCCACAGAAAACUGGACUUGACUUCUGUUUCUGCUACUCAUAUGCUCUGUGACCAUGAGCAUGUGAUAUAGCUUGUUGUUGUUGUUUUUUGAGAUGGAGUUUCCCCCUUGUUGCCUAGGCUGAAAUGCAAUGGUGCGGUCUCCGCUCACAGCAACCUCCACCUCCUGGGUUCAAGCGAUUCUCCUGCCACAACCUCCCAGAUACCCAGGAUUUCAGGCACCUGCCACCAUGCCUGGCUAGUUUUUGUAUUUUUAGUAGAGAUGGGGUUUCACCAUGUUGGCCAGGCUGGUCUCAAACUCCUUACCACAGGUGAUCUGCCCGCCUCGGCCUCUCAAAGUGCUGGGAUUACAGGGGUGAGCCACCUGGCCCAGCCAGCCUUCAUCACAUUAUUUGAUUCCUUUCAAUGAGCCAAUUUUGAUGCCAGCACUGGAGAUACAGGUGUCCUGGGCUCAAGAAGUUCAGUGUGUGUCCUAAGGUCUCACUCAAGUCACAGACCCUUUCCUAUUUGAUCUCCUGCCCAAGAGGCUUGGACUUUUCUCCAGAGGCUUGGUGCAACUCACACAUAUUGUGCUAGUCUAGGGCUAGGGGGCUUCACCCUGUUUUCUCAUGUAUAUUUCAGGACAAGGCUUCGAGGGAAGUAUUAUUAAUUCAAUUUAAUUAAGCCCACUAAUCAAAGCUGUGGAGUAGCUUGAACAAGGCCCAUGCUAGUUGGCAGUAGAGUAGGUCUCUGGCUUCCCAUUGAGUGUUCUUUCCUUGAUACCCCAUGAGUCCUGGGCAGAGCACCAAGCAGCAGCAGCUACUCACACAUGCUCGGGCCAAAGCCCCUCAUCACCCUGUGAGCAGAGUAGGGAUGGUAGUGCAGAGGCUGAGAGCCAAAGUUCAUCGUGCUGUCCACUCGGUGCUACCUACUUGGUGGCUAAGGCAGUUCCUAGCUGGGCCUCAGUUUCCUGCUCUUUAAAUUGGGCUUGGGGAGACCAAUGGCUGCUGUGUUCAGUUGUACACAUGAACCCCUGGCCAAAGGGAAAGUGGUGGACAGAAUCUAGCCCACUUUCUGCUUGCAAUGCUGGGCAUCCUCACGUGGAACCGAGCCUGUCCAGAGGAAGGAGCAGUCUUUCUGUAAUUACUCAAAAGCUCUAUAUGUGCUACUGGGUUCCCUCGAGAGGCAAAAGCAUCUCCACAUUUCCUCCCAACACCUUUCGAUAUCUCCAGUGUGCACAAUCCUGAGAGAGAGAGAGAGAGAAAUACAAAAGCAGGAGUCCCUCCCCACCCCCCGCCAGGGUUAAACUGAAUUUCGCCAUGAUGUGCAUUUAUGUGCCUGUUGAGGCAAAGCUGCUCUGUAGAAAGAGCGCAGGCUUCAGGAUCAGUGAGCUCCAGCUUCACUCCCAGGACCCCACCUCCUAGCCACUGGAACUCAGACAUCAGAAUGAAUGCUGUCCUCUGUCACAGCUAUGUGCCAGAGUCUACUAUGUGCCAGACCUGCAGGACGUUGGUGCACGUAGUGACACUCCAGCAUCACCAACCCUCUUCUCCCCUCAUCUUGCAGAGCAAUGAAGGUACUUGGCUACCAUGAUAGAGUUGAGAAGGAGUUGCUUGCACCUGGAUGAGGAUUCAGGUGUCUCCAACCCAAAAGCACUUGCUCUUGGUUGCCUUGCUCUGCCUCACCCAAGUGAGAAUAACCCUGCUUUUCCCCAUUGGUUUCUUGUAAUGGUCACAGUGGUUCACCAUCUCAGGUCAGACCUGGGUUUAAAUCCUGGCUUCUUUAAGUUCUAACCUUUUGACCUUAAGAAAUCACUAAGCCUCAACUUUCUCACCUUUGAAAUGAAGACUACAAUAAAGGUCCCUAACUGAAAAGCUUAUUGUGAGUAUUAAAUAAAAAUUAUGUAGAUAUACACAGAUCAUAGGCGCAUGGUAAGAGCUCAAUAAGUGUGAGAUAUUAUUUAGCAGGGGUUGAAGUGACGCCGGUAUUAUUUAAGUUCCCAGUCCAGCUCCUCACGUAAUGUGGGUGCUCCAUGAUUGAUUAUCAGCUUUCUUUCAUUGUGGAAGAGUAGAGAGGGAUAGAACAAUGUUCCAGUGGAAAGUGGAGAAGAGAGACGGCACUUGGGAGUCAGCAGGUUAUGUCUUCAGGAACUCAGUGUUGACCUCCACUGUCAUUUAAACUUUCUUAUUUGUCCUUAAAGAAUGUCAAUGCCUAGAUUUUGAAGUGUUAACAAAGUGUUCCAAAGUGUGUCUCCCCAAGUUCCGUGAAUUACAGGUUAGAGAACACUCUUCUAGCAAGCUCCCCAUUCCCUUACUCAGGCUCAAGAUCUAUCACCUGUACCUGGGAACCUGGGUGAAGAGGCCUGUCCAGGUGGUUCUUUGUACCUGGGGGUAUCUGGCCCUCCCUGAUUCCUUUCCACCUUCCAUAUGCUCCCCUCUGACUCACUUCUGUUGUAGCCAAGAGGGCAAGUGUGGAGAGGUUGUUUAAAACAACCUCUCACACACACCAAACCCUAUAAUCAUCCAAAGUGGUCAUUUGAUCUACGUGGGAAGGCAUGCACUCCCGUCGGCUUCCAGGCACCAGGAAGUGACACCAGCAAGCAAGGAAGCCACACCACUAAUAGGAAUAACUGCCAUCUGUCACAGGAUGCCUGCUGGUCACCAGGCAUUUCACAUGCACCGUAUCAUUAGUCUUCACAGCAAACCCUGAGGGAGGCCUUACAGGCUGUGUGUUACAGAUGAAGGAACGAGGGUCAGCAGGGUGAAGGAACUUGCCCACAUCCUCCACAGCUACUAGGUGGCAGCGCUGGGAUUCUAGCCAGGUAUGUCUGACUUGGGAGCCUGGGCCCUGGCCAUUCAGCCAGGCUGACAUCCAAUUUGAUAUGGUCAUUUGAAGAACCCAGAAAGUAACAACAGUGAAUUUUCAGUCAUAAAGACUGAAGGACCCCCAUUCAAUAGCGACUUUGUUCAGGGCCUCAGAAGCCCUGUAGAUGUUUUUGAAUAGUAGGUUAUUCUCUUUUCUCUGGCAAAAUUCAGCAAGUGUGCAAGGUUCCUAGCACAAGCGGACCUGUUAUGUGCUAGGAAAUGUGCUGGGUUCCUAAAACACACAAUAAUAUUCAAUAUGGUUCUUCAGAACUCCAAGUCUCACUACCACUUAUAACGUUGACUGUGUGACCCUGGGAAAGUUAGUUACCAAUCUUGUACCCUCACUUUCUUAUCUGUGUUCUGUAUGUCAUAAAUAGCUGAGAUAAAUGUAUCAAACAACUAGCCCAGCGCAUGACCUAGGAUAGGUGUGUGAUCUCUGGUAUCAGAAGCAGUUGCAAUUACCAUGAUUGUUUUCCUUGCUUGGUCCACACAAUCCCUUCCCCAUGGUCUUUCCUUUAUCCCCAUCAGCCUAAGGAUCCAGCCCACUUGCUUCUCCUCUCCCCAGUAAGCCACCUGAGGUUCCCUGGGCUUCCUUUCAUCCCCCGUGGUAUGUGAAAAACAGGAUGUAGAAUUCCUUUCUUUCUCCUGUUUUGGUGUCCCCACAGAUAAACCUAAAGACUUUCUCACUUCAAGGAUUUUACUAACAAUUUAUCCCAGGGUACAGGAAGGUGCCACAAAUGGUCCCAGGCAGAGGCACAUCAUCUGUGUGUGGCUCCUGAAUCCUUCUUUGAGAUGGUCCCAGGACAUUCUCCUCCACUGUGCCUCUAACUGACCAACUGCUCUUGUUUUUGUUAUCUAACCCUAAUCAAAGCAAUCAUCUCUUUCUGAUACUUUUUCAAUUUAUUCAUUUUUAUUUUUAUUUUUAUUUUCAUUUUGAGACAGUGUCUCGCUCUAUCAUCCAGGCUGGAGUGCAGUGGCGCAAUCUUGACUCACUGCAACCUCCGCCUCCCAGGUUCAAGUGAUUCUCAUGUCUCAGUCUCCUAAGUAGCUGAGAUUGCAAGUGUGCCUCACCACAUCUGGCUAAUUUUUGUAUUUCCAGUAAAGACAGGGUUUCACCAUGUUGGCCAGGCUGGUCUUGAACUCCUGGCCUCAAGUGAUCCACUUGUCUUGGCCUCCCAAAGUGCUGGGAUUACAGGCGUGAGCCACCAUGACUGGCCAAUUUUUAAAUUUAAAUUUAAACAGAGGUACACAGAUUUUUCUAUCAUGCGGAAUGUACGCAUGCUUUAUGUAACCACGGUUAACAUACUAACAUUGUGGGGUUCUGGGAUCUGGAGUGACUUCUAGGAGGAUAUGGUCUGAGCCCUUAUCCUUGAAGAAUGAGCCUAGACUUGUGAGGUAGAUAGACAGAGUGAUUAAGGAUACUCCAGACAGGGGAAGCAGAACAAAGGGGCAAAGAGGGUGACAAUGUGUUCAAAAUGGAGCAAGGCUGUGCAACUGGUGUGCCAGGUUCAUGGUUGAGGGUGGGAGGCGAGUGAUAGGAAAUGGAGCUGGAAAAUUCACUUCAGCCUAUUGCAAUGGUCUUUAUAAGCUUCCAAUUUAUUAGAUAUUGCUAUGGGGUGAAGCGUGUCCUCCCAAGAAAGAUAUCCACAAAUGACAACCCCCAGUACCUCAAAAUGUGACCUAACUUGUAAACAGGGUCCUAAAAGAGGUAAUCAAGUUAAAAUGAGGUUAUUUGGUUAGACCCUAAUCCAGUAUGUUGGGUGUCCUUAUAAAAAGGGAGAAUGUGGACACAGGAAUAGACACACACAGAGAGAGCACAAUGAAAAGGCAUGGGAUUGGAGUGACACAAUGACAAGCAAAGACAUGUCUGAGACUACCAGAAGCUAGGAGAAAGACCUGGAACAGGUCCUUUUCUAAAACCGCCAAAGGAAGCAACACCCUGCUGACAACACCUCGAUCUUGGACUCUGGCCUCCACAACUGUAAGACAAUGAAUUUCUGGGGGGUUUUUGUUUCGUUUUGAGAUGGAGUCUCACUCUGUCGUCAGGCUGGAGUGCAAUGGCAUAAUCUCAGCUCACUGCAAUCUCCACCUGCCAAGUUCAAGAGAUUCUCCUGUCUCAGCCUCCUGAGUAGCUGGGAUUACAGGCCUGCAACACCACACCCAGCUAAUUUUUGUAUUUUUAGUGGAGAUGGGGUUUCACCAUGUUGGCCAGGAUGGCCUCGAUCUUCUGACCUCAUGAUUCGCUCACCUUGGCCUCCCAAAGUGCUGGGAUUACAGGUGUGAGCCACCACGCCUGGCCAUUUCUGUUUUUUUUAAGCCACCCAGUUUGUGAAACUCUGUAUGACAUCCUUAGCAAAGUGAUAUAGUCAUAUACUGAAUGAUUAACUGCCAGCAGGGAAGGCCUUCAUUGGGUUGGGAAUCCCCAACAUGAACAUGACAGGUAGUGAAAGCUCCCUCUUUAAAAGGACCAGGGGAGAGUAGAGCUUAUUGAUCAGGAGCUGAGCUUUUGAAACCAGACUGCCUGCUUUGUCUUCCUUCUCUGCCUCUUCCUUUCUAUGUGUCUGGUGCCUCAGUUUCCUGAUCUAUUCAAUGGGGGACAUGCUAAUAUCUAAAGGGUUGCAGGGAAGAGUAAAUUAUGUCUCACAAGUACCCACAUAAUGCGUGGCACUAGUAAGCGGUCAAUAAAUGCUAGCUCUCAUUACCAAGCUUGUCUUCCUUUGAGUUUUUGCAGUGAAAACUGUUCUCUGCUUGGUAGAAUUUGCCCGCAGGCCCCCAUGUGACAGGGGCUCUUACAAAAGAGUUUGUUUACAUGCAUCAAGUUACCAACAUUUUCCAAGAAAAGCGUUCUCUUUCACUUGGGUAUUUACUUACAGAAUCUAGUCCUAGCCCAGAGAAAAGUGAUGCUUGUGGCUGGUGAGCUGCUUCUUGACCCUAAACCCCUCCCUCGUGGUUCUGCUCAGCAUUUCUAGAAUAUAUCCCAAAGUAAUCAAAAGCACAGGCAAGCAUGUAAAGAGAGACAUGCGGUUUCAUAGGAAAAAUUAAAGAGUGUAGGCUGGGACCAGGAUUUGAAUUCCUUCUUGGCUACCAAAUAGCAGUAUGAACUUUGACUUGUGACCCAGGUCUUUGAGUCUCAAUUUCCUCACAUGCAAAAAGGAACUACUGCUUUCUUGGGAAAAAAUGCCUGGAAAUUUAAUGAGGCAAAGCCCGUGGUGUACCUAGCACAUUGCUGACGCAUGCCAGGCCUUGGUGCGGACCGUUCUCUGCACCCUUGCCCCACCUGGCAAGGUCAAGGCUAUGGCAAUGAGGGAGCCAGUGCAAUAAAACAAGAUCAGUUGCUCCAUGAGAUUUGGAAGCGCUCAUGUCUCCAGAUGUCAGGCUGCGAAUAUUUAGAUGCCACAAAUAUUUGCUCAACUCCCAUAAGCUAAAGAAUGCACUCCUCACGAAUCUCAUUUUAGCAUUAUUUUUAUUAAAAUCACAUUUCAACCUUGAACCAUCAGGACCUUUCCCACUAGCCGGAAAUGAUUGGUGAGCCAGAUGCUGGGUAUAGAGUGUCACGAGGUUUCGAAUUUGAUGAGAGUGACUCCUCUCUGGAAGAAUCGAGGGUGACUCACAGGCUGGGAGGACUGCGGGAGCUGGGGAAGUGGGGGUCAUGCUACCAGGCUGGGUCCCAAGAGCAGCAGAACCCUAGCACCGAGGAAACACAAAGGGCCAAUCUCAGCAUUACUGUUGUUAAGAGACAUAAUUCAAGUAUUUUACACAAAUCCAAAACAACUUUUUGAAACUUAGACUUUUUAAUCUCACAGUGAUUCAGUUUAGGACAUGUAGCCUCAUUGCAGAAUCUUUUGGACCACAGGGGACAUUAUGACACAGGCUCGUGUGUCCAUAAGGGAGUGUGGUGUGCUGAUCAACUUGAGGAGUGACAGUCUUGUGGCAGUGAUGCAAUCUUGGGCAUGGUGGCUCAUGUCUGUAAUCCUAGCAUGUGGAGAGGCUGAGAUGGGAGGAUUGCUUGAAGCCAGGAGUUCAAGACCAACCUAGGCAACCUAGGCAACAAAGAAGACCUCUGUCUCUACAAAAAUUAUACAACAAUAAUUAGCUGGUCAUGGUGGUGCAUGCCUGUGUCCCAGCUACUCAGGAGAUCUAGGUGGGAGGACUACUUAAGCCCAGAAGUUUGAGGCUGCAUUUAGCUAUGAUCAUGCCACUUCACUCCAGUCUGAGCCAUAGAAUGAGACUCCAUCUCUUAAAAACAAAAACCAAACAAAACAUGUGAGUAGUGUGGGCGCUACUAACUCUUUCUACACAGGUGACCUCUUCACUAACAAUGUCCUUAUCCCCAAGUGAAAUUAGGGUGAUUUUGAGACGGAGUCUCACUCUGUCAUCAGGCUGGAGUGCAGUGGUGCAACCUUGGCUCACUGCAAUCUCCGCCUCCCAAGUUCAAGCGAUUCUCCUGUCUCAGCCUCCUGAGUAGCUGGGAUUACAGGCCUGCAACACCACACCCAGCUAAUUUUUGUAUUUUUAGUGGAGAUGGGGUUUCACCAUGUUGGCCAGGAUGGCCUCGAUCUUCUGACCUCAUGAUUCGCUCACCUUGGCCUCCCAAAGUGCUGGGAUUACAGGUGUGAGCCACCACGCCCGGCCAUUUCUGUUUUUUUAACGCCACCCAGUUUGUGAAACUCUGUAUGACAUCCUUAGCAAAGGGAUAUAGGCAUAUACUGAAUGAUUAACUGCUAACAGGGAAGGCCUUCAUUGGGUUGGGAAUCCCCAACAUGAACAUGACAGGUAGUGAAAGCUCCCUCUUUAAAAGGACCAGGGGAGAGUAGAGCUUAUUGAUCAGGAGCUGAGCUUUUGAAACCAGACUGCCUGCUUUGUCUUCCUUCUCUGCCUCUUCCUUUCUAUGUGUCUGGUGCCUCAGUUUCCUGAUCUAUUCAAUGGGGGACAUGCUAAUAUCUAAAGGGUUGCAGGGAAGAGUAAAUUAUGUCUCACAAGUACCCGCAUAAUGCGUGGCACUAGUAAGCGGUCAAUAAAUGCUAGCUCUCAUUACCAAGCUUGUCUUCCUUUGAGUUUUUGCAGUGAAAACUGUUCUCUGCUUGGUAGAAUUUGCCCGCAGGCCCCCAUGUGACAGGGGCUCUUACAAAAGAGUUUGUUUACAUGCAUCAAGUUACCAACAUUUUCCAAGAAAUUAGGGUGUUGACCAAUACAAUCUCAUUGAGAUGGGGUUAUGAGAGUGGUCCCUAAUUCAGUAUGACUGUAUUCUUAUAGAAAGACCCUUCUUUCUAUAAGAAUUUGAAGGCAGACACACACAGGAAGGGGAACACAUUUAGAAGAUAGAGAUACAGAUUAGAUUUGUGCAAUGGCAAGCCAAGAAAUACCAACGGUUGAUGACACUAUGGUGUGAAGAUUUGUCUCCUCCAAAACUCAUGUUGAAAUGUAAUCCCCAAGGUAGCAGUAUGGAGAGGUAGAGCCUUGAAGAGGUGAUUGGUCUGCCCUCAUGAAUGGAUUAAUCCAUUGAUGGAUCAAUGGGUUAAUGGAUUAUCAUAGGAGGGGAACGGGUGGCUUUAUAUUAGGAGGAAGAGAUACCUGGGCUAACAUGCUCCACUUCCUCAUCAUGUGAUGUCCUGUGCUACCAUGAGACUCUACAGAGUUCCCAGCAGCAAGAAGGCCCUGAGCAGAUAUGGCCCUCUGACCUUGGACUUCUCAGCCUCCGUGACUGUAAGAAAUACAUGCCUUUUCUUUUUAAAUUACCCAGUUUCAGGUAUCCUGUUGCAAGCAACAGAAAAACGACUAAGAUAUCUGGUAACAACUGAAAGUAAAGAGAGAAAGCACGGCCCUGCCAAGACCUUGCCUUCUGACUUCCACCCUCUAGAACUAUGGGAGAAGAAAUUGCUGUCGUUUUGAGCCACCCAGUUUAUGACCUACUUUGUUAUGGCUGCCCUAGGAAGCUAAUGCAUUCUCAAACUUCUGUCUCCUUUGACUAGCAGGUAAACCAAAUUCCUAACAAAAGGCCACGGGGAAGCCUGCAUCUAGCAGUUUUAUAAGAACAACAGGGGCAGGAUCCAAACUGGAAGGUAACAAAGGGGUAGCUGAGGAGGAAGUGGCUACAGAGUAGACUCUUGUUUUAAGGUCCUUAGGAAAAAUAUUUAAUUUCUGUAAGUCUCAGUUUUCUCAUCCCUAGCAUGGAGAUAACAACAGCACAUAGGUUUGUGGUUAAGCAAAAUGAAUGAGUGAUUGCCUGUUAAGUGCUAAGUACCAGGCAGGAAAACAAAUAAGCAGUCUCACAUUAAAUAAAUGGAAACAAUAUUUUAAAGAUGUAAAUGCUUAAUAUACAUUGUAGAUUUAAAUGGCUUCUAUUAAUAUGUUCAGUAAUUCACCCCUUCUUAGUCCUUAGUACUAGGGGUGUGUUCUGGAAGAAAAGGACACCAUUCCUGCUAUUCAGAAGUUAAUAGAUGAACGCAGUCACUGCUUCUGCUACUAAUAACAAUCCUACCUCCCUAAGUAUGGAAAAGGCAACCCAGAGAGCUGACUUAGGAUGAGAACAUCAAUUGGCCACCUAUCAAAAAGGCGGACAGCCCAACUUCUGAGCUGUGAAUCUGACUAUUCUGUGAUGAAAACAGAAUAGAAAUAGACAAUAAGAACCUGAAAUUAAGAUAUUUUUCAAAUCAAAAGUGAAAAAAGAGAUAAGGAAAGUAUUUUUUAAUUGGAAAGCAUUAUUAUUUAAAAGCAUUGUCAGAAAGAAUUAGGGAGUGGAGAAGCUGUUCAGCCAAGAUCAAGGGUUUGCACACAUGACUCUUUGAUCACACAGGUUUUGAGAGAGUCAUAAAAUAUUUACAGUGCAGAAGCCACUGGACAAUGCCUAAGACAAAAUCUAAUUGUAUCCUCAAGCCAAAGGGUCACUACCUGAUGAUGGGACCCCGCAGGGCCCAGAAACAGGGCUCCGAUGCCCAUGUUAGUGUGUGCCCAUUGUGUCCUGUUGCCCCUAGGUCCAGGGCUCACCAAAUUCCUCAAGAAAGGUCCAGGUUCAGGGAAUCCACUUUCCCCAUGGCAUCCAACUCUCCCACCUUCCAGCUGGCCCUAGAAUCUGCCAUCUUUCUUGUCUAUAUACUACAUCAUGAUUUUUCAGAGUUGCUUGCAAAGUGUAUAUAAAUAUCACAUAGCACACAGUUCAGAGGGUUUGGCUGGUGACUGAGCUGUACCUGAAGAGACCCACAAUCUGGGGAGGUAGGACAUGCCCCUCUCAUGUUGUGCUCUCAGGCUUUGUGACCUCACCCAUCUCCCCACUGAUACUCUGAGCCCUUUAAAGGAUAGCCUCUCACCUCUAUAUCCAGCACUUUCUGCAGGUCUGGUUCAAUGAAUAUUCAUAAAUGAAUGCACAGAAUUUGAAUGAAUAUGUAAGUGGUGGGGGUAAAAAAUACCUAGAGAGGGAAGACUAGUUUGGGAUAUAGAAGACGUCAUUCAUAGGGUGACACAUGAGUGGAUCCUGAGGAUGCUGAAGAGUUCCCUAAGCAAGGGAAGUGGGGCAGCCUUGGAGACAGAAAAGCAUUGUAUGCAGGGCUGCUCCUCGCUCCGCUGAAGAAGGGUGAGAAGUUCAGGCUCCUGAGGAGUAAGGGGCAGGCAUGGAUUUGCCUGAGACAAGCCUGGAUAUUAGAUCUGCCUGGACCAGGAAUGAAAGGGCCUCCCUGUUGGAGAACCUGGGAUCUCUCUGGAGGGAGGCUGAGCAUGAAGGAUGAAUCUGGGGAACAGGAUGACAGUAACGGAUUUGAGGUCUAGAAAAACCACGAGUGGGUUACCAAUAGAUGGAGGACAGCAGGCCAGGAAAUCAAGAGACUAGGUGAAAAACAAGAGUCUUGACCCAAGAGGGUGAACUUUGGACAGAAAGGGGAAGGGGUCUAAAAGGCAUUUUCCAGACACAAUUUUUGACUCACAUGGGAAGUGAGGAAAAGGUUUUAGCCUCACAGUCUGGGCAGAUAAUGAUGCUCAUUUUUGAGACAGGUGGUACUAAAGACGACAAAGCAGAGAGGGGAGCUGAGGGUUCAGUCUGGAUUUGUCAAGUUCAAGUCACCGGAGGGACAUCUCAGUGAGAAUAUCCUACUCAAGGGCUAUAAAUUAUAAAGUUAGAGCCUUAGGAUUCAACAAUACCUGUAAAGAAGAUCUGCAGGUCAUCAUGGAACCAUGACUAUAUUUCAAUAUUGCUUUGAAUAAAGCAAGGCUGACGUCGUGCACUGGAGCUUACCAUGUGAAAAUCAAUUUUCCACACUUUGGAGUUCACAACGCACAUUCACAACCUUCCCCUCAUUAACAUCCCUACCGCCACCACCAUCCCUGCUUAUGGCAUAGACGACCAAGAUUAGAAACAUGAUUUAGCCAAUCUGAGAAUGACCAAAGUAGGCAGGUUGUUCUAGGAUCAUGUAACUAAAAGCAGUGCCUCUUGGACUGAUGGUCUCAAGUCCAGUUUCAAUCUCUUCCCAUCCUAGUGUUUUGACCAUUGAAUCUACUAUAUGCUAAGCUUUAAAACUCCCAUGAGAUGUGUUGGUGGAGUCCCUAAUGCAAAGGGCAUUGGAUACCUUGCCUGAGCACAGCUCAGAAGAGAAGCUGGAGAUUGUAGGUGUGGGGCUCUCAAAGCCAUCUCUGCAGAGGGAAGGCUGAGUGAGAGUAUCUUCAGGGGCAACACAAGAUUUCUGUGCAUCUGAAUAAGGUGAAGCAGGGACUAGAGGCAUCUGAAAGCUGAACGCAUGUGCAUUAGAACUAGACUUGAGUUCAAGUCCUGGCUUCAGCACUUAUUUAUUUAUUUAUUUAUUUUAUUUUAUUUUAUUUUUCUUUUUUUGAGACGGAGUUUUGCUCUUGUUGCCAGGCUGGAGGGCAAUGGCGCCAUCUCUGCUCACUGCACCUCCGCCUUCCGGGUUCAAGCAAUUCUCCUGCCUCAGCCUCCUGAGUAGCUGGAGUUACGGGCACCUGCCACCACACCUGGCUAAUUUUUGUAUUGUUGGCCAGGCUGGUCUCAAACUCCUGACCUCAGGUGAUCCACCCACCUCGGUCUUGGUUAAGUGGGAGGAUUGGUGGAUCUUGACUGCUGGGCUGUUACACAAACAAAGUGCAAUUCUGCACAUGGAGACUGCACAAUACUGACUGGCAUUGGUAAGUGUUUAGUAAAUUCAUGUGGUCAGAUGGGGAAAGCCAGUUUGUCCAUGUUCUUUGUCAUAGAAUUGCUUUCUCAUGGGUCUUGCCCUUUUCUGUGCCCUUGAAGACACAGGGCUUUGCGCCAGAUGCCUGACAGCUAGUAAAUGUUCAAGAAAAGAAAAACAAUCCCAGGCAGUAAAUCAAAGGAUAGUUUCUAAUAAGAGAAACAACAGAACAAAGAAUACAGGAAACAUUUGAAAGAUCCGGAACCAUAACAUAAAAUAACAGUGUGUCUGGACCUAUAAAUAAUAACGUGUGCUAUGGGGGAGAAAUGGUUCCCUUUUGAUAGGUUUGUAAAACCAGAUGAAGGAAGCAGAGGAACACGUGAACUUCCAUCUCUUGAAACUGGCACUCACCAAAGGAAUGCAGAUGAGCUCAGUUACCCAACUAUAACGUGGAUUGAGAAACAGCCUAAAUGUAAUAAAAUUGAUGGUGCCUAAUUGUCCAGGGGUUUAGUCCACAGGGUACAAAGUGGGAAGGGUGUGGUCUGAUUCUGCAGGACCAUUAAUUAAUUGAGAGCAGGUUAAUGAGGUUUGCCAAGAAUAUCCUAAAUCAUCAUGGCCUGGGAGCACGAUCAAAGUGAAAAGCAUAAUACAGGGAACUCAUCAAAACUAGAAUUAUGAGUUAAAAAUGAGAUGCAGCUUGGAAAUAAUGCAAACAAAAGUAUCUGGAGAAAAAUGAUCAGAAACAACCAGAGAAUGCAGUAGGGGGCUCCAGCAAGAAAAGCAAUGGAAAUUCAAAGACAGUAACAGAUUAAAUAUAGGAAGAAAAGAAUGGACUGCAUAAGCUGGAAAAGGUUAAAGGAAUGAGUAGUCUGCUGCCAAGUAUAACUGUUAUGAACCCAGGAAGGUGUGGCUCUGCCUUUCUAGCUGGUUGCAUCUCAGAGGAAGAUGGAGGUGAUGGUUGUGGAUAUGAAGAGGUCCUAAUACAUAGGACCUGUGUUAGCUCCAGCAACCUUGAACUUGCUACCUGCACUCCUCAUGCCUCAGUGUCUUUGCCUGCAAAGCGCAAAUAAAAAUAACAACCACCUCCAUCCUACAGGGUUCUUGUGAGGAAUAGAUGACUAAAGAUGGGAAAAAAUUGAAAAUUGUAAUUGAAAAUUGUAAAGGUUUUGCAAACAACAGUCAUGGGUUCAAACAAACCAAACUAAUAAAAAAAGUUCUAUAGAUGCAUUGACUUCAUUGAUUUACCUGUCAAAGUGAGAUUUUUUUAGUCCUCUGGAGUCUUCCUGUGGAGUGAGAAUUAAAUUUGUUGAUACCUGUGAAAUAUGUAUAAUAUAUCAUACAUACAUAUGUAUACAAGAAAUAUACAAAAUGACAUUUCACAUAUAUACAUGAAAUAAUAACAUAUAUUUCACAUGACAUGUAUAGAAAAGUAUCUGGCAAUAGAAAAUGUUUGAGACAUGUUAAUGACUUUUCCACAAUGUGUCAGUUCUUCUUUGUAAAUCAGUUUCUCUCACUAGAAUGCACUAGAAUGUGCACUCCUUGAGGGUCAAAGCCACCUUAUCUAUGCUUUAUAUUUCAGCACAAAACACUGUGUUUGACACCCAGAGAUAUCUGUGAUUGAAAGGGCAACAAUGAUAAUGACACUUAAUAUUUAUUAAUGCUGACUUUGCAUGAGGGAUUAUGUUAGCUGCUUUACCUUUCUUAAUUAUCAUGAAAUCAUUUGAAUUAGGUAUUAUCAUGUGUCUUAUUUUACUUAUGAAGAAGCAGGUACAGAGAAGUGACAUGAAAUUCCUAAAUUACACAGUAAGAGGUGGAGCAGAGAUGGAGUCCAUGCCAGGCUUUGUACCACACCAGUCUGGUCUUCUCACUCUAAAAAGGAAGGAAUAGAAGCAUGGAUGAACAAGUGAAUGAAGGAAUGAAAGCAUGAGUGAAUGAGUGAGUGGCAGGACAAUUAUCUAACAUAUUGUAGCGAUGGAUAAUGUUGACAUAUGCACAGAACUCAACUCCCAGGAAGCUAGCUGGGAAAGUGUGCUCCUUGGAUCCUCUCACAGUUUUCUUGGGCCUCAUUUGAAUUUCUUUCUAUAUAUGUAUAUAUUUUAAGUUCUGGGAUACAUGUGCAGAACACGUAGGUUUGUUACAUAGGUAUGGAUGUGCCAUGGUGGUUUGAUGCACCCAUCAACCUGUCAUCUUCAUUAGGUAUUUCUCCUAACGUUAUCCCUUCCCUAGCCCCCUACUCCCUGACAGGCCCCAAUGUGUGAUGUUCCCCUCCCUGUGUCCAUGUGUUCUCAUUGUUCAACUCCCACUUAUGAGUGAGAACAUGUGGUGUUUGGUCUUUUGUUCCUGUGUUAGUUUGUUGAGAAUGAUCAUUUCCACUUUCACCCAUGUCCCUGCAAAGGACAGAAGCUCAUCCUUUUUAUGGCUGCAUAGUGUUCCAUAGUGUAUAUGUGCCACAUUUUCUUUACCUCGUCUAUCAUCGGUAGGCAUUUGGGUUGUUUCCUAGUCUUUGCUAUUGUGAAUAGUGCUGCAAUAGACAUAUGUGUGCAUGUGUCUUUAUAGUAGAAUGAUUUGUAAAUCUUUGGGUAUAUACCCAGUAAUGGGAUUGCUGGGUCAAAUGGUAUUUCUGGUUCUAGAUCCUUGAGGAUUUGCCACACUGUCUUCAAUAAUGGUUGAACUAAUUUACACUCUCACCAACAGUGUAAGUGUCGCUAUUUCUCCACAUCCUCUCCAGCAUCUGUUGUUUCCUGACAUUUUAAUGAUCACCAUUAUAACUGGCAUGAGUUGGUAUCUCAUUGUGGUUUUGAUUUGCAUUUCUCUAGUGACCAGUGUUGAUGAGCUUUUUUUCAUAUGUUUGUUGGCUGCACAAAUAUUUUCUUUUGAGAAGUGUCUGUUCAUAUCCUUUGCCCCCUUUUUGAUGGGGUUGUUUUUUUUCUUGUCAAUUUGUUUAAGUUCCUUAUAGAUUCUGGAUAUUAGCCCUUUGUCAAAUGGAUAGAUUGCAAAACUUUUCUCCCAUUCUGUAUGUUGCCUGUUCACUCUGAUGAUAGUUUCCUUUGCUGUGCAGAAGCUCUUUAAUUUAAUUAGAUCCCAUUUGUCAAUUUUGGCUUUUAUUGCCAUUGCUUUUGGUGUUUUAGUCAGGAAGUCUUUGCCCAUGCCUAUGUCCUGAAUGGUAUUGCCUAGGUUUUCUUCUAGGGUUUUUAUGUUUUUAUGUUUUACAUUUAAGUCUUUAAUCCAUCUUGAGUUAAUUUUUGUAAAAGAUGUAAGGAAGGGGUCCAGUUUCGGUUUUCUGCAUAUGGCUAGCCAGUUUUCUCAACACUAUGUAUUAAAUAGGGAAUCCUUUCUGCAUUGCUUGUUUUUGUCAGGUUUGUCAAAGAUCAGAUGGUUGUAGAUGUGUGGCAUUAUUUCUGAGGCCUCUGUUCUGUUCCUUUGGUCUAUAUAUCUCUUUUGGUACCAGUACCAUGCUGCUUUGGUUACUGUAGCCUUGUAGCAUAGUUUGAAGACAGGUAGCGUGAUGCCUCCAGCUUUGUUCUUUUUGCUUAGGAUUGUCUUGGCUAUGCAGGCUCUUUUUUAUUUCCAUAUGAAAUUUAAAGUAGUUUUUUCCAAUUCUGUGAAGAAAGUCAAUGGUAGCUUGAUGGGGAUAGCAUUAAAUCUAUAAAUUACUUUGGGCAGUAUGGCAAUUUUCACAAUAUUGAUUCUUCCUAUCCAUGAGGAUGGAAUGUUUGUCUAUUUGUUUGUGUCCUCUCUUAUUGAGCAGUGGUUUGUAGUUCUCCUUCAAGAGGUUCUUCACGUCCCUUUUAAGUUGUAUUCCUAGGUAUUUUAUUCUCUUUGCAGCAAUUGUGAAUGGGAGUUCACUCAUAAUUUGGAUCUCUAUUAUUGGUGUAUAGGAAUGCUUGUGAUUUUUGCACAUUGAUUUUGUAUCCUGAGACUGCUGAAGUUGCUUAUCAGCUUAAGGAGAUUUUAGGCUGAGAUGAUGGGGUUUUCUAAAUAUACAAUCAUGUCAUCUGCAAACAGAGACAAUUUGACUUGCUCUCUUCCUGUUUGAAUACCCUUUAUUUCUUUCUCUUCCCUGAUUGCCCUGGCCAAUACUGUGUUGAAUAGGAAUGGUGAGAGAAGGCAUCCUUGUCUUGUGCUGGUUUUCAAAGGGAAUGCUUCUCAGCUUUUGACCAUUCAGUAUGAUAUUGCCUGUGGGUUUGUCAUAAAUAGCUCUUAUUAUUUUGAGAUACAUUUUAUCAAUACCUAGUUUAUUGAGAAUUUUUAUCAUGAAGUGGUGUUGACUUUUACCGAAGGCCCUUUCUGCAUCUAUUAAGAUAAUCAUUUGGUUUUUAUCAUUGGUUCUGUUUAUGUGCUGAAUUACGUUUAUUGAUUCAUGUAAGUUGAGCCAGCCUUGCAUCCCAGGGAUGAAGCUGACUUGAUCAUGGUGGAUAAGCUUUUUGAUGUGCUGCUGGAUUCAGUUUGCCAGUAUUUUAUUGAGGAUUUUCACAUCGAUGUUCAUCAGGGAUAUUGGCCUGAAAUUAUCUUUUUUUGUUGUGUCUCUGCUGUGAAUCUGUCUGGUCCUGGGCUUUUGUUGGUUGGUAGGCUAUUAAUUACUGCCUCAAUUUCAGAACUUGUUAUUGGUCUAUUCAGGGAUUCAACUUCUUCCUGGUUUAGUCUUGGGAGAGUGUAUGUGUCCAGGAGUUUUGGUAUCAGGAUGAUGCUUGCCUCAUAAAAUGAGUUAUGGAGGAGUCCCUCUUUUUCUAUUGUUUGGAAUAGUUUCAGAAGGAAUGGUACCAGCUCCUCUUUGUACCUCUGGUAGAAUUCGGCUGUGAAUCUGUCUAGUCCUGGGCUUUUGUUGGUUGGUCAGCUAUUAAUUACUGCCUUAAUUUCAGAACUUGUUAUUGGUCUAUUCAGGGAUUCAAGUUCUUCCUGGUUUAGUCUUGGGAGGGUGUAUGUGUCCAGGAGUUUAUCCAUUUCUUCUAGAUUUUCUAGCUUAUUUGCAUAUAGGUGUUCACAGUAUUCUCUGAUGGUAGUUUGUAUUUCUGUAGGAUCAGUGGUGAUAUCCCCUUUAUCACUUUUUAUUGUGUCUAUUUGAUUCUUCUUUCUUUUCUUCUUCAUUAGUCUGGUUACCAGUCUAUCUAUCUUGUUUAUCUUUUCAAAAAACCAGCUUCUGGAUUCAUUGAUUUUUUUGGAGGGUUUUUCGUGUCUAUCUCCUUCAUUUCUGCUCUGAUCUUAGUUAUUUCUUGCCUUCUGCUAGCUUUUGAAUUUGUUUGCUCUUGCUUGUCUAGUUCUUUUAAUUGUGAUGUUAGAGUGUCGAUUUUAGAUCUUUCCUGCUUUCUCCUGUGGGCAUUUAGUGCUAUAAAUUUCCCUCUAAACACUGCUUUAGCUGUGCCCCAGAGUUUCUGGUACGUUGUGUCUUUGUUCUCAUUGGUUUCAAAGAACUUACUUAUUUCUGCCAUAAUUUCGUUAUUUACCCAGUAGUCAUUCAGGAGCAGAUUGUUCAGUUUCCAUGUAGUUGUGUGGUUUUGAGUGAGUUUCUUAAUCCUGAGUUCUAAUUUGAUUGCACUGUGGUCUGAGAGACUGUUUUUUAUUAUUUCCAUUCUUUUGCAUUUGCUGAGGACUGUUUUACUUCCAAUUAUGUGGUCAAUUUUAGAAUAAGUGCAAUGUGGCACUGAGAAGAAUGUAUGCUCUGUUGAUCUGGGGUGGAGAGUUCUGCAGAUGUCUAUUAGUUCCAUUUGAUCCAGAGCUGAGUUCAAGUCCUGAAUAUCCUUGUUAAUUUUCUGUCUCAUUGAUCUGUCUAAUAUUGACAGUGGGGUGUUAAAGUCUCCCAUUAGUAUUGUGUGGGAGUCUAAGUCCCUUUGUAGGUCUCUAAGAACUUGCUUUAUGAAUCUGGGUGCUCCUGUAUUGGGUGCAUAUAUAUUUAGGAUAGUUAUCUCUUCUUGUUGCAUGGAUUCCUUUAUGAUUAUACAAUUACCUUGUUUGUCUUUUUUGAUCUUUGUUAGUUUAAAGUCUGUUUUGUCAGAGACUAGGAUUGCAACUCCUCAUUUCUUUUCUUUUUCUUUCUUUUUUUUUUGUUUGCUUUCCAUUUGCUUAGUAAAAUUUCCUCUGUCUCUUUAUUUUGAGUCUAUGUGUGUCUUUGCAUGUGAGAUGGGUCUCCUGAAUACAGCACACCAAUGGGUCUUGAUUCUUUAUCCAAUUUGCCAGUCUGUGUCUUUUAAUUGGGGAAAUUAGCCCAUUUAGAUUUAAGGUUAAUAUUGUUAUGUAUGAAUCUGAUCCUGUCAUUAUGAUGCUAGCUGGUUAUUUUGCCUGUUCGUUGAUGUAGUUUCUUCAUAGUAUUGAUAGUCUUUAGAAUUUGGUAUAUUUUUGCAGUGGCUGGUACCAGUUUUUCCUUCCUAUAUUUAGUGCUUCCUUCAAGAGCUUGUAAGACAGGCCUGGUGGUGACAAAAUCUCUCAGCAUUUUGCUUGUCUGUAAAUGAUUUUAUUUCUCCUUCACUUAUGAAGCUUAGUUUGGCUGGAUAUGAAAUUCUGGGUUGAAAAUUCUUUUCUUUAAGAAUGUUGAAUAUUGGCCCCCCACUCUCUUCUGGCUUAUAGGGUUUCUGUAGAGAGAUCUGCUGUUAGUCUGAUGGGCUUCCCUUUGUGGGUAACCAGACCUUUCUUUCUGGCUGCCCUUAACAUUUUUUCCUUCAUUUCAACCUUGGUGAAUCUGAUGAUUAUGUGUAUUGGGGUUGCUCUUCUUGAGGAGUGUCUUUGUGGUGUUCUCUGUAUUUCCUGAAUUUGAAUGUUGAACUGUCUUGCUAGGCUGGGAAAGUUCUGGAUAAUAUCCUGAAGAGUGUUUUCCAACUUGGUUCCGUUCUCUCCGUCACUUUCAGGUACACCAAUUGUAGGUAGAUUUGGUCUUAUCACACAGUCCCAUAUUUCUUGGAGGCUUUGUUCAUUCCUUUUCAUUCUUCUUUCUGUAAUCUUGUCUUCAUGCUUUAUUUCAUUAAGUUGAUCUUCAGUCUCUGAUGUCCUUUCUUCCACUUGAUUCAUUUGGCUAUUGGUACCUGUGUAUGCUUCACGAAGUUCUCAUGCUGUGUUUUUCAGCUCCAUCAGGUCAUUUAUGUUCUCUAAACUGGUUAUUCUAGGUAUCAAUUCGUCUAACCUUUUUUCAAGGUUCUUAGCUUCCUUGCAUUGGGUUAGAACAUGCUCCUUUAGCUUAGAGGAGUUUGCUAUUACCCACCUUAUGAAGCCUACUUCUGUCAAUUCGUCAAACUCAUUCUCUGUCCAUUUUUGUUCCCUUGCUGGCAAGGAGUUGUGAUCCAUUGGAGAAGAAGAGGCAUUCUGGAUUUUGGAAUUUUCAGCCUUUUGGCACUUUUUUUUUUCUCAUCUUGAGUGGAUGUCCUUUUUGUUGAUGUUGAUGCUAUUCCUUUCUGUUUGUUAGUUUUCCUUCUAACAGUCAGGCCCCUCUGCUGCACAUCUGCUGGAGUUUGCUAGAAACCUGUUUGCCUGGGUAUCAUCAGCGGAGGCUGCAGAACAGCUAAGAUUGCUGCCUGUUCCUUUCUCUGGAAGCUUCGUCCUAGAGGGGCCUUCACAAGGUGCCAGCCAGAGCUCUCCUGUAUGAGGUGUCUGUUGACCCCUGCUGGGAGGUGUCUCCCAGUCAGGAGGCAUGGGGGUCAGGGACCCACUUGAGGAGGCAGUCUGUCCCUUAGCAGAGCUCAAGCACUGUGCUGUGAGAUCCUCUGCUGUCUUCAGAGCCGGCAGGCAGGAAUGUUUAAGUCUGCUGAACCUGUGCCCACAGCCUCCCCUUCCCCAAGGUGCUCUGCCCCAGGGAGAUGGGAGUUUUAUCUAUAAGCUCCUGACUGGGGCUGUUGCCUUUCUUUCGGAGAUGCUCUGCCCAGAGAAGAGGAAUCUAGAGAGGAAGUCUGGCCUCAGCAGCUUUGCGGAGAUACAGUGGGCUCUGCCCAUCUCAAACUUCACUGUGGCUUUUUUUACACUGUGAGGGGAAAACGCCUACUCAAGCCUCAGUAAUGGUGGAUGCCCCUCCACCCCUCGACCUCACCAAGCUCGAACAUCCCAGGUCGACUUCAGACAGCUGUGCUGGCAGAGAGAAUUUCAAGCCAGUGUAUCGUAGCUUGCUGGGCUCUGUGGGGGUGGGAUCCAUGGAGCAAGACUGCUUGGUCCCAUGGCUUCAAACCCCUUUCCAAGGGAUUGAAUGGUUCUGUCUCGCUGAUGUUCCAGGGACCACUAGAUUAUGAAAAAAUAAACUCCUGCAGCUAGCUCGGUGUCUGCUUAAAUGGCCGCCCUGUUUUGUGCUUGAAACCCAGGCCCUGGUGAUGUAGGCACCUGAGGGAAUCUCCUGGUCUGCGGGUUGCGAAGACCAUGGGAAAAGCAUAGUAUCUGGGCUGGAGUGCACUGAUCCUCAUGGCACAGUCCCUCAUGGCAUCCCUUGGCUAGGGGAGGGAAUUCCCCUACCCCUCGUGCUUCCCUGGUGAGGUGACACCCCACCCACCUUUGGCUCACCCUCUGUGGGCUGCACCCACUGUCUGGCCAGUCCCAAUGAGCUGGAUACCUCAGUUGGAAAUGCAGAAAUCACCUGCCUUCCGCAUUGAUCUUGCUGACAGCUACAGACCAAAGCUGUUCCUUUUCGGACAUCUUGCCAUCCACUCCUUCAUUUGAAUUUCUGACACAUGAAAACCCUUUUUCCUUCUUCCUUAGAAAUCAGCCCCCUGGAUGCAUUCCAGAAAUGAUACUGAAAUCUCUUUAAUAUAGGGGUGAUUUCAUCAGAACGAUCUGAGUCAGGCUUAUUUUACCGUGAGCUGUUCCACCAAAUGUUGAGUUUGGUGAAAUCAAAUUAUUACAGAAAGUUUAAUGAAUGCGAUAGCAAGAAUCACUUUGCACAGUACAGAACACAGCCCCUCUGAGACUUCCUGGUUUCAGAAACUACUUAAUGCUAGCAAAAAUGUGAUAACACUCACUCUGAUGCCCAGUCUAUGCAGCUACCAUCAGUACCCACCAUGGCCCAGCACUGAGCUCAUUGUUUCUAUUUAUUAUUUCCAUCUGGCCACAAAACUACAUUUUAAGGCUAAGAAGCCUAAGCCAAGCAUUUUGUUAGCUCAUAUCCCAGCCUAGCAUCCAGAUCUAAUUUCUCCUUUUCUCGGACAUCCCUGCAGUCAGAGCCUUGCUCUAAGCAAGCAACCUUUUUCCAUCAUUUAUUGUCUGUUUCAGAUUAAAAGUUUGGGGCUACUGCUGUUUCUGGUUGUCAAAUGUUAACACUUCUGAAACUGCGCCUCAUUAAACUUUUAAUAUCCUGCCAUGGCCUCCCCUUUGGGGCUGAUCUUUAACUCUCAGAGGCUUAUAGAAAUGUAUACAUUUAAUAGUCUUAUCACUUUCAAAAUGCAAAGGAGUUAAUGCAACUUAUUUUCUCUGUUAUUUAUGUCUGGGUUUUUUGUUUGUUUGUUUGUUUUAUUACACCAUAUGGGUUAAUGCACCAUAUGGUUGCCUUUUACAAUGGGUCAAUCAUGACUCUUUACAAUGUCUUUCAGAAGCCACUGAGACAGUGGUGGGGCAGCCACCUUCUCCUUCUUCUUCUUCCUGCUUUCCCUCAGAGAUGGACUCUUAAUAAGAUAUCUCAGAAGCUGGACUGGCUUAACUGGGUGAGUGCCUCUGCUCUGCUGUGCCCUAAACUCUGCCCAUUUGACUUUCGUCUGCCCCCAUUAGAUCCUGCUGCUGAUCUAGAAUGAUUUAAAAUUCUGGGCAGAGUCUCUGGAGAUCAAGCCCAAGGCUAACCUUGAUGAUGGCUGCCUCAUGUGCUUCUGAAGGCUUCCUUUUGCAUCUUCCCAAGUUGUCGCCCUUUUCCCAAAUCCUGCACUGCAAUCUUAUAACUUCCCUCAAGCCCUGUAUGGUAGCCCUUGAACUUCUUUUACUGUAGCAGGUUCCCAUUGUAAGCAGGGGGUGGUCUCUUGGGUCUUGGCAUCUAGGCAGGGCCUGGGGCUGCCAGAGGGAGAGCCAUGUCACCUGAGAGUCUUUUUACUUAUUGCCCAUCUCCUUCCUGCCCCACAUUCUAUCAUCUAACUGGAGGCCACCCACCCAGAAGCAGCUCUCCCCUCCUGAAUGCCCGUCCAUUUGCCUGGGUCCUGUUCAUGGACUACCCACAGAUCUCCCAUCCUCAAGGUCUUCCUGCCAACCAAGUCCUACUCAAGACCCAACCCCUUGAGUCAUGGCUAUCUUCUUGUCACUGGUCUGUGCCAUCUGUCACCACUUCCAGACACACAGCUGCCCAUCUGGUAGAAGACUCUUCCUGAUCUCCAGCUGGCUCUGCCUCCAAACACCAGCCUGCUUCUGGUGGCUAUCUAUCCUCAGCCCCUCUCUGUCCUGCCUCUCUCACAGCCUUCCCAGCUCCUGUUCUGAUAGCUAUUUGAGAAGGAUACCCUCUCAAACCCUGAAGGGCACAAGCGCUCUCUUUGUGUGCCCUAAAGUCCUAAAAGAAAGACCCCUCCUAUAUCUCAACUGGGGGGAAUGUACACUAUUUGCAACCUGCCCCAUCAUUACAUCUGAUCUGGAAGCCCUGACUGCUAACAGACCUUAGGAAAAGGGAGUUACCUCAAGACUACAAGAUAACAGAGUGCUAUAUUUCCCUAUUCCACCUCUGACCAUCAUCACCAUCUUAGAGGUUCUUUAUGGCAUCUUGCAAAUACACUCAUGAUUAAAACAGAAUGGUGAAACCACAUCAAUGUCUAAUGCAUGAUCAUUAGACCUUUGAUUUUAGACUGCCGUGUCAGGUAUGGAAAGGAAGGGUCGUCGUGUUUCCUCUGUGGUGUCAGAAGGGGCCUGCACUAUGAUAAACGUUUCCAGACACCAGAUUUACUUCCACCGUGCCUGGUCCUGUGCUUGACACAUCAUAAGGGCUUUUGGAUGUUGGCUGAAAUGGGUUUCAAGUAACAGGAGGCUGGGUAAACAUAUUCAGAGAGAGACACACAAAGAAAGGCAGAGUGAGAUGAGUUGUCCAGGCUUUGGCUAAGAGGGAGGGAAUGUUGCCUCAGUGUCUUCAGGAGUUUAGAAGCAAGUCAUUGAGCAGUGCUGACCUCCUAGGAAGAGGUGAACCUGGAAAGUAGUAAGAAUGCCACUCAGAGACCAAAGGCCAUCACUAUUAGGUGGUAAGAAGGCGCAUUCAUUUCCUAGGAUUGCUGUAACCAACAGCUACAAACUGGGUGCCUGAAAACAAUCAGAAUUCAUUGUCUGGCAGUUGGGGAGAGAAGUCUGAAAUCAAGGUGUCCACAGGAUUGGUACUAUUGGAGGCUGAGGGAUCUGCCCCACCCCUCUCUGCUAGUAGCUGCUGGUUUUCUGGCUGUAGCAUUUCCACCUUGUGGACUCAUCUCCCAUCUUCAUACAGCAUUCCCUGCAUCUGUCUUUAUAUCACCUGCCCUCUGAACAAGCAUGUCUCUGUGUCCAAAUGUCCCUCUCCUUAUGAGAACACCAGCCAGUGGAUUAGAGCCUACCUAUGCUAAUCCAAUAAGUCUUAUCUUCAUUUGUUUACACCUCAAAGAUUCUAUUUCCAAAUCAACUCACAUUCUGCAGUUCUGGUUGGACAUAAACAUUUGAGGAAACACUAUUCAAUUCAGUACAGAGGAGAGCCAAGUUUGAGUGGAGUCUUAAGGACAUCUUUAGUUUCUUUUUUUUUUAGAGGAAGUCUCACUCCGUCACCCAGGCUGGAGUGCAGUGGCCUGAUCUCUGCUCACUGCAAGCUCCUCCUCCCGGGUUCAUGCCAUUCUCCUGCCUCAGCCUCCCGAGUAGCUGAGGCUACAGGCGCCCGCCACCACGCCUGGCUCAUUAUUUUUGUAUUUUUAGUAAAGACGCCGUUUCACUGUGUUAGCCAGGAUGGUCUCAAUCUCCUGACCUCUUGAUCUGCCCGCCUCGGCCUCCCAAAGUGCUGGGAUUACAGGCGUGAGCCACCGCGCCUGGCCAGGACAUCUUCAGUUUCUAAAGGAACAUCAAGGACAAGACACAGCAUCAAAUCCCAUAGCCGACAGAGAGGAUGAAAGAGGGUGUUGUCUCAAGCCCUGGGGCAGAAGAACAGGCCAGGCCGAACAGAUGGGACACGUUUGAAUCUAAAAUUGCAAAUUCCUCAAUAAGUUAUACAGAUCACACUAAUUUACCUCCAUAUGCAACGAACUCAGAAUCAACAUUUCAGGUCCUGAGGGAAUCUUUGCCAACAUGACGACUUUAAUGAGCCAGGAGUCAGGGGUUAUUUUAAUGAGAAUAUAAAAAAAAAUACGUUCGCCAAUGUUUCAAUGUUUUGUUCUCUAACCAAAAGCAAACAAGCACACAAGCAAAACUGAAUGGAAGGUGGGAAGGUGUUACCUUAAACCGUGGGGAAGGCUGUCAUAGCUGUGUUUUCCCCAGCAUCCACGUCCACGCUCAGCUGUCAGCCCUGCCUCAAAAGUGGAGAGUCCAGGUUCCAUUACUUCUCAGCUAGUGUCCAAAAAAGAAUGUUAAUUGUGAAAUGAAUAUAAUUGUUCUAAGUCACUAUUCUGAGACUAACAAAAGAAAUCAGGAAUGGUGAGUGUGACACCAGGCUUUCCUGGAGGGAUGCUGACAGAUUCUAGAGACUUCUCUCUCCUCUCCCUGCAGCACACAGCACAUGCGCAAAGCCGAUCCCUGUGCAUCGACUGCACAUCCUGCUUGGCAAGAGAAGUGGAGGAGGGUGGGGCCGCGUGUCUGCAGAAAUGGGAGGGCUGACAGAAUCAGUGUUCUAGAGGGUCCUCAGAGCUCAUCCCCUGUGCAUUAAUAAACACUCUCCCAUCACUGAGGACAAUCCCCAUCCUUUUCCCUGACCUCCACCAAGAUCCUGCAUGUCCAGUUCCUUCCUAUUACCACUUAAGGAGCUGCAGGUCAUUUCUCCCAGCCGAUUAGCAGUCAAGAGUGUGGAUUUGAUUCUGGAAUCAAAACACAGCACAGGCCAGGCACUGUGGCUUACUCCUGUAACCCCAGCACUUGGAAAGGCCAAGGUUGGAGGAUCACUUGAGCCCAUGAGACAAGCCUGGACAACUCAUAGCAAGACUCCAUCUCCAUAAGACAUAGAACUAAAAAAAAAAAAUUAGCUGAGCAUGGUGACAACAUACCUGUUGUCCCAGCUACUGGCGAGGCUGAGGCAAGAGGAUCACUUGAACCCUGGAAGUAAAGGCUGUAGUGAGCCAUGUUUGCACCACUACACUCCUGCCUGGGUGGCAAUGAGAACUUGUCUCAUAAAAAGAAAAAAAAAAAAAGCACACAGCACAGGUGCUCUGAGAUUUAGCAGCUAAGUGACCUGGGCCUAUUCACUCAUACUGUUGCCUCAGUUUUCUCAUGUGUAAAGUGCAAGAAUAAUGAUGGUUUAUGCCCAAAUUCUGAUGAUAACAUAUUUCAGAACAAGGAAAAUACUGUAAUUUCAAUUUUUCAGUCUAGAAAACUGAAACCCAAAGAGGUUGGAUAGGUGGGCCGCUGGCCUUCUGAGGACUGAUCCUUCUCACAGGACCAUUUUCCUCAUCCCUUAACUAGAAUGGCCUCAUGUCUGCAAAUGUCUUUUGUAUGAACAUUCAAAAUUAAUUCUAAAAACAUUGCCUCUGGCGCUGCCUUUGUGUGCUAAAUUACAGCCCAUCAUUACUCUGCAAAUAAGAACACAACACCCACCAGCUUGAGCUUCCUAUAGGAACAGUUCUACAACAUGACAGAAAUAGUCUAAAGACUCUCUCCAUACGCACAGAGGUAACGGGUGGCAGGGCUGAGAUUUGAACCUACGAAGUCUGAGUCCAGGGCCCUGGCUCUAAUUAUUACCUCUUUGGGACUGUCAGCAGCCUGGGGAUCAGAGUCACUGCAUCACUCUCUCAUAUCUCUAAUGCCUAUCCUUUAAGAAGCAUGGAUACAUACUUAUUGAAUGAGUGAAUGCAAUUGUCAUAAUAUAUUAUCUCAUAUCAUCUUACAUCAGUUUUAUCAGGACAGGACCAUGCACAAACAUGAACAAUAAUUUUCCUUUAGGAAAAAUAAAUCUUACAUAAUUUAUCUUUUCUGCCCAAGGCCUAGCCUACCAAGGUCAUAGGUAUAUUUGGAAGGUGGUCAGUAUAUGUUUGUUGAAUGGCUGAAUGACUGCACAGUUUGUGUUAGUUUAUGUUGAUGGGUAGAUUAGUUUGUUAGGGCUUCCAUAACAAAAUACUAUACAAUGGGCAGCUUAAACAACAGAAAUUUAUUUUCUCACGUUUCUGGAGGCUAGAAGUCCAAGAUUAAGGUAUUGGCAGGGUUGGGAAAGCUUUCAUCUUCAUAAGAUAGUCAAGUUUUAAACUUGGGAGGUAGGCAUGUUAUUCUCAUUUGCUGGACAUGAACACUGAGGCUCAGAGAGACGGGGGCGCUGACUUGAAGUCAGGCAUCUGGGACAUCAACAUGAGUCUUCAGACCUUGCAGUGCGACCCUCCUCUCUCUCCAGGGACACCUAUGUUCAUCUUUUCCUUGGGAUGCUUAAUCAAUAAAUAUUUAUUGAGUACCUUG
Pan troglodytes (chimpanzee) is the source of this 38323-nucleotide long non-coding RNA. RefSeq lists it as uncharacterized. NCBI's taxonomy places the organism in Eukaryota, Metazoa, Chordata, Mammalia, Primates, Hominidae. The record is from RefSeq and is a predicted model, not a curated record. The transcript is spliced from 2 exons.